RNAcentral lists this long non-coding RNA (214 nucleotides) under Daucus carota (carrot). Its description in RNAcentral is "long non-coding RNA (DCAR_LNC002033)". The record is from RNAcentral. Lineage: Eukaryota; Viridiplantae; Streptophyta; Magnoliopsida; Apiales; Apiaceae.
UGAUCCAGAAACUUUGUAGCAUUAUUUACUAGUCCAGGACUUCACUUUUUCUAGUGUUAGUUGAGUUAUCCUCCAGAGGAUUUGCUUGUUAUGAUUAACAAACAAAUAGGGGGAGAUUGUAAGUCUAAAUAUAAAGACAACCCUAUCUGUUACAUAGGGAUGAUAACUCAACAAUAGAAUAGGACAAGUAAAUAACACUACGGCUGCACCGGAA